Molecule: ribosomal RNA, 292 nt
Filed under: uncultured bacterium
Lineage: Bacteria
Description: partial 16S ribosomal RNA
Rfam family: Bacterial small subunit ribosomal RNA
Source: RNAcentral
UUUUCAGCAGCCGCGGUAAUACGGAGGGUGCAAGCGUUAAUCGGAAUAACUGGGCGUAAAGCGCACGCAGGCGGUCGGAUAAGUCAGAUGUGAAAGCCCCGGGCUCAACCUGGGAACUGCAUUUGAAACUGUUCGACUAGAGUCUUGUAGAGGGGGGUAGAAUUCCAGGUGUAGCGGUGAAAUGCGUAGAGAUCUGGAGGAAUACCGGUGGCGAAGGCGGCCCCCUGGACAAAGACUGACGCUCAGGUGCGAAAGCGUGGGGAGCAAACAGGAUUAGAUACCCUUGUAGUCC